RNAcentral lists this ribosomal RNA (254 nucleotides) under uncultured bacterium. Its description in RNAcentral is "partial 16S ribosomal RNA". It matches the Rfam family "Bacterial small subunit ribosomal RNA", at positions 524 to 776 of the family's 1533-position model. The record is from RNAcentral.
UACGUAGGUGGCAAGCGUUGUCCGGAUUUACUGGGCGUAAAGAGCGCGCAGGCGGUCGUUCAAGUCGCGUGUGAAAGCCCCCGGCUCAACCGGGAGAGGUCGCUCAAGACUGGCGGGCUGGAGAGUGGUAGAGGAAGGUGGAAUUCCCGGUGUAGUGGUGAAAUGCGUAGAUAUCGGGAGGAACACCAGUGGCGAAGGCGACUACCUGGCCUGUUUCUUGACGCUGAGGCGCGAAAGCUAGGGGAGCAAACGGG